UCGGGUGUGUAAGCGCAGCGAUGCGUUGAGCUAACCGAUACUAAUGAACCGUGAGGCUUAACCUUACAACGCCGAAGGUGUUUC
Molecule: ribosomal RNA, 84 nt
Filed under: Enterobacter hormaechei subsp. steigerwaltii
Lineage: Bacteria; Pseudomonadati; Pseudomonadota; Gammaproteobacteria; Enterobacterales; Enterobacteriaceae
Description: partial 23S ribosomal RNA
Source: RNAcentral